UGGGGAAUUUUGGACAAUGGGCGCAAGCCUGAUCCAGCCAUGCCGCGUGCGGGAAGAAGGCCUUCGGGUUGUAAACCGCUUUUGUCAGGGAAGAAAUCUUCUGAGUUAAUACCUCGGGAGGAUGACGGUACCUGAAGAAUAAGCACCGGCUAACUACGUGCCAGCAGCCGCGGUAAUACGUAGGGUGCAAGCGUUAAUCGGAAUUACUGGGCGUAAAGCGUGCGCAGGCGGUUUUGUAAGACAGAGGUGAAAUCCCCGGGCUCAACCUGGGAACUGCCUUUGUGACUGCAAGGCUUGAGUGCGGCAGAGGGGGGAUGGAAUUCCGCGUGUAGCAGUGAAAUGCGUAGAUAUGCGGAGGAACACCGAUGGCGAAGGCAAUCCCCCUGGGCCUGCACUGACGCUCAUGCACGAAAGCGUGGGGAGCAAACAGGAUUAGAUACCCUGGUAGUCCACGCCCUAAACGAUGUCAACUGGUUGUUGGGAAGGUUCCUUCCCAGUAACGUAGCUAACGCGUGAAGUUGA
This 522-nucleotide ribosomal RNA is filed under the name uncultured bacterium. Its description in RNAcentral is "partial 16S ribosomal RNA". It matches the Rfam family "Bacterial small subunit ribosomal RNA", at positions 355 to 868 of the family's 1533-position model. The record is from RNAcentral.